UACGUAGGGCGCAAGCGUUGUCCGGAAUUAUUGGGCGUAAAGAGCUCGUAGGCGGUUUGUCACGUCUGUCGUGAAAGCCCACGGCUUAACCGUGGGUCUGCGGUGGAUACGGGCAGACUAGAGGCAGGUAGGGGAGAAUGGAAUUCCCGGUGUAGCGGUGAAAUGCGCAGAUAUCGGGAGGAACACCGGUGGCGAAGGCGGUUCUCUGGGCCUGUACUGACGCUGAGGAGCGAAAGCGUGGGGAGCGAACAGG
Molecule: ribosomal RNA, 253 nt
Filed under: uncultured bacterium
Lineage: Bacteria
Description: partial 16S ribosomal RNA
Rfam family: Bacterial small subunit ribosomal RNA
Source: RNAcentral